CCUACGGGUGGCAGCAGUGAGGAAUAUUGCUCAAUGGGCGCGAGCCUGAACCAGCCACGCAGCGUGAAGGAUGACUGCCCUACGGGUUGUAAACUUCUUUUAUAAAGGAAUAAAGUGAGGCACGUGUGCCUUUUUGUAUGUACUUUAUGAAUACGGAUCGGCUAACCCCGUGCCAGCAGCCGCGGUAAUACGGAGGAUCCGAGCGUUAUCCGGAUUUAUUGGGUUUAAAGGGAGCGUAGAUGGGUUGUUAAGUCAGUUGUGAAAGUUUGCGGCUCAACCGUAAAAUUGCAAUUGAUACUGGCAGACUUGAGUACAGUAGAGGUAAGCGGAAUUCGUGGUGUAGCGGUGAAAUGCUUAGAUAUCACGAAGAACACCGGUGGCGAAGGCAGCUUACUGAACUGCAACUGACAUUGAUGCUCGAAAGUGUGGGUAUCAAACAGGAUUAGAUACCCUUGUAGUC
This 460-nucleotide ribosomal RNA is filed under the name uncultured bacterium. Its description in RNAcentral is "partial 16S ribosomal RNA". It matches the Rfam family "Bacterial small subunit ribosomal RNA", at positions 338 to 795 of the family's 1533-position model. The record is from RNAcentral.